This 2899-nucleotide ribosomal RNA is filed under the name Escherichia coli. RNAcentral's name for it is "23S ribosomal RNA". It matches the Rfam family "Bacterial large subunit ribosomal RNA". Lineage: Bacteria; Pseudomonadati; Pseudomonadota; Gammaproteobacteria; Enterobacterales; Enterobacteriaceae. The record is from RNAcentral.
GGUUAAGCGACUAAGCGUACACGGUGGAUGCCCUGGCAGUCAGAGGCGAUGAAGGACGUGCUAAUCUGCGAUAAGCGUCGGUAAGGUGAUAUGAACCGUUAUAACCGGCGAUUUCCGAAUGGGGAAACCCAGUGUGUUUCGACACACUAUCAUUAACUGAAUCCAUAGGUUAAUGAGGCGAACCGGGGAACUGAAACAUCUAAGUACCCCGAGGAAAAGAAAUCAACCGAGAUUCCCCCAGUAGCGGCGAGCGAACGGGGAGCAGCCCAGAGCCUGAAUCAGUGUGUGUGUUAGUGGAAGCGUCUGGAAAGGCGCGCGAUACAGGGUGACAGCCCCGUACACAAAAAUGCACAUGCUGUGAGCUCGAUGAGUAGGGCGGGACACGUGGUAUCCUGUCUGAAUAUGGGGGACCAUCCUCCAAGGCUAAAUACUCCUGACUGACCGAUAGUGAACCAGUACCGUGAGGGAAAGGCGAAAAGAACCCCGGCGAGGGGAGUGAAAAAGAACCUGAAACCGUGUACGUACAAGCAGUGGGAGCCUCUUUAUGGGGUGACUGCGUACCUUUUGUAUAAUGGGUCAGCGACUUAUAUUCUGUAGCAAGGUUAACCGAAUAGGGGAGCCGAAGGGAAACCGAGUCUUAACUGGGCGUUAAGUUGCAGGGUAUAGACCCGAAACCCGGUGAUCUAGCCAUGGGCAGGUUGAAGGUUGGGUAACACUAACUGGAGGACCGAACCGACUAAUGUUGAAAAAUUAGCGGAUGACUUGUGGCUGGGGGUGAAAGGCCAAUCAAACCGGGAGAUAGCUGGUUCUCCCCGAAAGCUAUUUAGGUAGCGCCUCGUGAAUUCAUCUCCGGGGUAGAGCACUGUUUCGGCAAGGGGUCAUCCCGACUUACCAACCCGAUGCAAACUGCGAAUACCGGAGAAUGUUAUCACGGGAGACACACGGCGGGUGCUAACGUCCGUCGUGAAGAGGGAAACAACCCAGACCGCCAGCUAAGGUCCCAAAGUCAUGGUUAAGUGGGAAACGAUGUGGGAAGGCCCAGACAGCCAGGAUGUUGGCUUAGAAGCAGCCAUCAUUUAAAGAAAGCGUAAUAGCUCACUGGUCGAGUCGGCCUGCGCGGAAGAUGUAACGGGGCUAAACCAUGCACCGAAGCUGCGGCAGCGACGCUUAUGCGUUGUUGGGUAGGGGAGCGUUCUGUAAGCCUGUGAAGGUGUGCUGUGAGGCAUGCUGGAGGUAUCAGAAGUGCGAAUGCUGACAUAAGUAACGAUAAAGCGGGUGAAAAGCCCGCUCGCCGGAAGACCAAGGGUUCCUGUCCAACGUUAAUCGGGGCAGGGUGAGUCGACCCCUAAGGCGAGGCCGAAAGGCGUAGUCGAUGGGAAACAGGUUAAUAUUCCUGUACUUGGUGUUACUGCGAAGGGGGACGGAGAAGGCUAUGUUGGUAGGGCGACGGUUGUCCCGGUUUAAGCGUGUAGGCUGGUUUUCCAGGCAAAUCCGGAAAAUCAAGGCUGAGGCGUGAUGACGAGGCACUACGGUGCUGAAGCAACAAAUGCCCUGCUUCCAGGAAAAGCCUCUAAGCAUCAGGUAACAUCAAAUCGUACCCCAAACCGACACAGGUGGUCAGGUAGAGAAUACCAAGGCGCUUGAGAGAACUCGGGUGAAGGAACUAGGCAAAAUGGUGCCGUAACUUCGGGAGAAGGCACGCUGAUAUGUAGGUGAAGCGACUUGCUCGUGGAGCUGAAAUCAGUCGAAGAUACCAGCUGGCUGCAACUGUUUAUUAAAAACACAGCACUGUGCAAACACGAAAGUGGACGUAUACGGUGUGACGCCUGCCCGGUGCCGGAAGGUUAAUUGAUGGGGUCAGCGCAAGCGAAGCUCUUGAUCGAAGCCCCGGUAAACGGCGGUACCGUAACUAUAACGGUCCUAAGGUAGCGAAAUUCCUUGUCGGGUAAGUUCCGACCUGCACGAAUGGCGUAAUGAUGGUAAGGCUGUCUCCACCCGAGACUCAGUGAAAUUGAACUCGCUGUGAAGAUGCAGUGUACCCGCGGCAAGACGGAAAGACCCCGUGAACCUUUACUAUAGCUUGACACUGAACAUUGAGCCUUGAUGUGUAGGAUAGGUGGGAGGCUUAGAAGUGUGGACGCCAGUCUGCAUGGAGCCGACCUUGAAAUACCACCCUUUAAUGUUUGAUGUUCUAACGUUGACCCGUAAUCCGGGUUGCGGACAGUGUCUGGUGGGUAGUUUGACUGGGGCGGUCUCCUCCUAAAGAGUAACGGAGGAGCACGAAGGUUGGCUAAUCCUGGUCGGACAUCAGGAGGUUAGUGCAAUGGCAUAAGCCAGCUUGACUGCGAGCGUGACGGCGCGAGCAGGUGCGAAAGCAGGUCAUAGUGAUCCGGUGGUUCUGAAUGGAAGGGCCAUCGCUCAACGGAUAAAAGGUACUCCGGGGAUAACAGGCUGAUACCGCCCAAGAGUUCAUAUCGACGGCGGUGUUUGGCACCUCGAUGUCGGCUCAUCACAUCCUGGGGCUGAAGUAGGUCCCAAGGGUAUGGCUGUUCGCCAUUUAAAGUGGUACGCGAGCUGGGUUUAGAACGUCGUGAGACAGUUCGGUCCCUAUCUGCCGUGGGCGCUGGAGAACUGAGGGGGCUGCUCCUAGUACGAGAGGACCGGAGUGGACGCAUCACUGGUGUUCGGGUUGUCAUGCCAAUGGCACUGCCCGGUAGCUAAAUGCGGAAGAGAUAAGUGCUGAAAGCAUCUAAGCACGAAACUUGCCCCGAGAUGAGUUCUCCCUGACCCUUUAAGGGUCCUGAAGGAACGUUGAAGACGACGACGUUGAUAGGCCGGGUGUGUAAGCGCAGCGAUGCGUUGAGCUAACCGGUACUAAUGAACCGUGAGGCUUAACCUU